UGGGAGGGAAUGGUGGGCAGGCAUCAAGCAACCAGGGGACACGUCCAUCAGCAUGUUUGAGCAACAAAAAAGCUCCCAAGUGCUCACCGAGGAACCUACGAGCAUUUCAUAAGAAAAAAUUUGUUUGCUGCAGGGCUGGCGUUGUGACAGCUUCCAGAGGAGAUGGGAUGGAUGGAUGUAUGGAUGGAUGGACGGACAGGAGGCUGUACCGAGAGGAGGAGAAGGGUGAAAGGUGCCUCCUUCCAAGGCAGCAGCUGGUGAGAAGGAGCCUGGGCUGCUCAGUGUCACCACACACAUGGCCUGUGGGGAAGCGUGAGCCCAGCUCCAAUCUUUGUCAGUGGCACCUCGUUGACUUUUAGCGCUUCCUUAUCGUGUCCGUGCUCACCUCGCUGGGCGCUGAUAAAAUGCCUGGGCCGGGUGAUCUGCUGAGCAGCCCUGCAGAAAAACCUGCAGAGCUUGGGAGCCUGAUCUGCCAGCGACCAGCCCGGGGCUCCAGAGCACAGCAAGGUGAGCAACUUGCAGUGAUACACUUGGGAGAGUCCUCUUGAUGGAUUUGAACUGAAUAUAAAACCCUGGACAUCUUCUGAGCAGUGCUUUAUGACACCCCCCUGCAUUUUGUACAUAGACCAGGAAAGACAGCAAGG
Molecule: long non-coding RNA, 644 nt
Organism: Parus major (Great Tit)
Lineage: Eukaryota; Metazoa; Chordata; Aves; Passeriformes; Paridae
Exons: 3
Source: RefSeq, a predicted model, not a curated record